AUGCAAAGUAGGGAGGCCGGCGGGAAGGAUUCAGGGGUGGAAUUGCUGGAGUCACAGAUGGAGAGCAGGAGCCUUGCUGGAAGGCUCACGCGGAGGUGGAGCUGUGGGGAGGGGCUUGGACCAUUUCCUUGCAGGGCAAGUGAACAGAGGCAUAGGACACACGGGAGCUAAAGUCAAAUUAAAAAGACCAGAAGUGGGGACACAGAGUGAAACUCGGCUCGCCGUCCCUAAGCCCCGGAGUGGUGUUCUUGAAGCACCCAGGGCUCGAUCUAAAAAUCAGACCGUGAACUCAGACGCCAGCAUUGCGAUGUGGGCUUCCCACUCGCACAGCACAUGGUCACUGAAACCAUCCCAAGGGAAUUUAAAGCAGCAGGACCCCGGCGUUACUGUUUGGUUGUUGCCUGGAGCCAGUGGAACAUCCGACCCACGCAUGGAGGCUGCUCAGCGCUUCUGCAUGAAUUAAAUGAGGUAACAGAGUAACUUUUCCUAUAAAUAUUGGAGGUACUUCAUAAUGUAUUUUAAAAGAUGUUUCCUUGGACAAGAAGUGCUCUGCUAUAUGCCGUGGGACGUGCACCUCACAAAGCAGAUGCAGGUGCUGCUUGUGACCUGCAGUCUGGAUCCAUAGGUUUAAGUCCUUUCCAGUCCUGGUGCCUCACUUAGCAAAUGAGGGCACUGAGACCCCGGGAGAACAAGGGGUUCGUGGGAGGUGAUCACGUGGGUGAUUACACGGAUCUCAGGAUCCAUGUGGUUAGUUGACACACGAGCUGUUCCCAUGUCCUUUGUGGUACAGGUGAAAUGACCCAGUGGGAAGAGCCUGGCUGUUGAGUUAGACAAAAUCAGCUCCGCUGUGUGCCCCUUGGGCUGGUGGGACAUGUACUCCAACUGUCUGGGCUUCAGUUCUUCCAAGCGAUAGAGUGUAUCUUUUUAUUGAAGUAUAAUUGAUUUACAAUGUUGUCUUAAUUUCUGCUGUGUAUCAGAACGAUUCAGAUACAUACACACACAUAUGCGUUCUUUUUAAUUCUUUUCCGUUAUGGUUUAUCAUGGGAUAUUGAAUAUAGUCCCCCACGCUCUAGAGUAGAACCUCGUUGUUUAUCCAUUCCAUAUAUAAAAGAGUUUGCAUAUACUGUGCGAUAUUAGCUUAUGCCUCAUAUAUAAGAGUUCUUCUGUCUUUGUACUAAAAGAAGGAGAACUGGGAGACAGAUACACAUGUCCCACAUCAUGUCAUUUUUGUCAUUUUUUUCUCUGUGUAUGUGUGUGUGUGUGGUGCUGCUCCUGAAGCAUGUGGAAGUUCUUGGGCCAGAGAUUGAACCUGUGCCACAGUAGUGGCGUGAGCUGCUACAGUGACAACACCAGGUCCUUAACCUACUGAACCACAAGGGAACUCCUGUUUUUUUUUUUUAAUUGAACGAGUUGCAGACAUUUAACCCUUUGUAUAAAACCUAGAGGUCUGGCUUCUUUUGACC
RNAcentral lists this long non-coding RNA (1463 nucleotides) under Sus scrofa (pig). Its description in RNAcentral is "lncRNA (ENSSSCG00070010350.1)". Lineage: Eukaryota; Metazoa; Chordata; Mammalia; Artiodactyla; Suidae. The record is from RNAcentral.